UAACACGGCAUUGGGCAACCUGCCUGUAAGACCGGAAUAACCCCGGGAAACCGGGGCUAAUGCCGGGUAAUACUUUUCUUCGCAUGCUGAAGGAAAGUUGAAAGAUGGCUUCUCGCUAUCACUUACAGAUGGGCCCGCGGCGCAUUAGCUAGUUGGUGAGGCUCUUAACGGCUCACCAAGGCGACGAUGCGUAGCCGACCUGAGAGGGUGAUCGGCCACACUGGGACUGAGACACGGCCCAGACUCCUACGGGAGGCAGCAGUAGGGAAUCUUCCGCAAUGGACGAAAGUCUGACGGAGCAACGCCGCGGAUGCUGAGAUCUGAACGAUGAAGGUCUUCGGAUCGUAAAGUUCUGUUGUUAGGGAAGAACAAGUACCGUGCGAAUAGAGCGGUACCUUGACGGUACCUAACGAGGAAGCCCCGGCUAACUACGUGCCAGCAGCCGCGGUAAUACGUAGGGGGCAAGCGUUGUCGCUUAGCGGAAUUAUUGGGCGUAAAGCGCGCGCAGGCGGUUCCUUAAGUCUGAUGUGAAAGCCCACGGCUCAACCGUGGAGGGCUAGGUCAUUGGAAACUGGGGAACUUGAGGACAGAAGAGGAGAGUGGAAUUCCACGUGUAGCGGUGAAAUGCGUAGAUAUGUGGAGGAACACCAGUGGCGAAGGCGACUCUCUGGUCUGUCUCUGACGCUGAGGUGCGAAAGCGUGGGUGCUAGAGCAAACAGGAUUAGAUACCCUGGUAGUCCACGCCGUAAACGAUGAGUGCUAGGUGUUAGGGGGCUUCCACCCCUUAGUGC
Molecule: ribosomal RNA, 791 nt
Filed under: Halobacillus litoralis
Lineage: Bacteria; Bacillati; Bacillota; Bacilli; Caryophanales; Bacillaceae
Description: bacterial SSU rRNA
Rfam family: Bacterial small subunit ribosomal RNA
Source: RNAcentral